This 484-nucleotide ribosomal RNA is filed under the name uncultured bacterium. RNAcentral describes it as "partial 16S ribosomal RNA". It matches the Rfam family "Bacterial small subunit ribosomal RNA", at positions 30 to 507 of the family's 1533-position model. The record is from RNAcentral.
AUUGAACGCUGGCGGCAGGCCUAACACAUGCAAGUCGAGCGGAUGAAGGGAGCUUGCUCCUGGAUUCAGCGGCGGACGGGUGAGUAAUGCCUAGGAAUCUGCCUGGUAGUGGGGGAUAACGUCCGGAAACGGGAGCUAAUACCGCACACGUCCUGAGGGAGAAAGUGGGGGAUCUUCGGACAUCACGCUAUCAGAUGAGCCUAGGUCGGAUUAGCUAGUUGGUGGGGUAAAGGCCUACCAAGGCGACGAUCCGUAACUGGUCUGAGAGGAUGAUCAGUCACACUGGAACUGAGACACGGUCCAGACUCCUACGGGAGGCAGCAGUGGGGAAUCUUGCACAAUGGGCGAAAGCCUGAUCCAGCCAUGCCGCGUGUGUGAAGAAGGUCUUCGGAUUGUAAAGCUCUUUAAGUUGGGAGGAAGGGCAGUAAGAUAAUCCCUUGCUGUUUUGACGUUACCAACAGAAUAAGCACCGGCUAACUUCGUG